RNAcentral lists this unclassified non-coding RNA (274 nucleotides) under Mortierella sp. RNAcentral's name for it is "partial contains 5.8S ribosomal RNA, internal transcribed spacer 2, and large subunit ribosomal RNA". Lineage: Eukaryota; Fungi; Mortierellomycota; Mortierellomycetes; Mortierellales; Mortierellaceae. The record is from RNAcentral.
AACGCACAUUGCGCCCCUUGGCAUUCCGAGGGGCACAUCUGUUCGAGCGUCAUUACACCCCUCAAGCUCUGCUUGGUCUUGGGCGCCCUCGUCCCCUAGCCCCUCCCUGGGGCAGGCGGACGCGCCUCAAACUCCUCGGCGGUCCACACCGGCUUCGAGCGUAGCAAUUACACCUCGCUCUUGGAGUCCUGGCAUGUGCCCGGCCGUAUGACAGCAAACUAUUUCAUUUUGAAAGGUUGACCUCGGAUCAGAUGGGGAUACCCGCUGAACUUAA